GGGGGUGACAUGGUUUCGACAGGGAAUCAGUGUGGUAGAGAUGCAUGCCGGAGAUGCUAUCCACUCCGUCAACAAGUAGCAAACGCAAAUUAACUGCAAACGAUAACUUACUCUUAGCCGCUUAAUGCGGUUACGGUCAACCUUUCCGUGCCAUCGGGAAAGGAUUGGGCGUC
This 173-nucleotide transfer-messenger RNA is filed under the name Candidatus Cloacimonadota bacterium. RNAcentral describes it as "partial transfer-messenger RNA". It matches the Rfam family "transfer-messenger RNA", at positions 1 to 187 of the family's 374-position model. From Rfam's summary of the family: Bacterial tmRNA, also known as 10Sa RNA or SsrA, is named for its dual tRNA and mRNA-like properties. Its role is to liberate the mRNA from a stalled ribosome. Lineage: Bacteria; Pseudomonadati; Candidatus Cloacimonadota. The record is from RNAcentral.